Molecule: ribosomal RNA, 497 nt
Filed under: uncultured bacterium
Lineage: Bacteria
Description: partial 16S ribosomal RNA
Rfam family: Bacterial small subunit ribosomal RNA
Source: RNAcentral
GAUGAACGCUGGCGGCGUGCCUAAUACAUGCAAGUCGAGCGAACAGACGAGGAGCUUACUCCUCUGACGUUAGCGGCGGACGGGUGAGUAACACGUGGAUAACCUACCUAUAAGACUGGGAUAACUUCGGGAAACCGGAGCUAAUACCGGAUAACAUGUUGAACCGCAUGGUUCAACAGUGAAAGACGGUCUUGCUGUCACUUAUAGAUGGAUCCGCGUCGCAUUAGCUAGUUGGUAAGGUAACGGCUUACCAAGGCAACGAUGCGUAGCCGACCUGAGAGGGUGAUCGGCCACACUGGAACUGAGACACGGUCCAGACUCCUACGGGAGGCAGCAGUAGGGAAUCUUCCGCAAUGGGCGGAAGCCUGACGGAGCAACGCCGCGUGAGUGAAGAAGGUCUUCGGAUCGUAAAACUCUGUUAUUAGGGAAGAACAAAUGUGUAAGUAACUAUGCACGUCUUGACGGUACCUAAUCAGAAAGCCACGGCUAACUACGUG